This is a long non-coding RNA of Carassius carassius (crucian carp), 1018 nucleotides long. RefSeq lists it as uncharacterized. The transcript is spliced from 7 exons. The record is from RefSeq and is a predicted model, not a curated record. NCBI's taxonomy places the organism in Eukaryota, Metazoa, Chordata, Actinopteri, Cypriniformes, Cyprinidae.
AACCCAUUCUCACUCCAAAGGCGUCAAAAACCGAAGCAUGGUCAAGCGCACCUAGCAUCACUUUUAUGACGCCAAAUGUGCCUCUCGGCGUCGAAAUAUCGACGCACUAAGACCUUCAUUGCUUUCAGUGGGAAACUUUUGGCGUCAGAAUUUCGAGGCGAGGACAUGAGAUGUUUAUCGCUAUGAAAUCACGUUCAAGAAGUCUCAUUCAGCACACAUCGCGAUACUUGCUAUCAGUUCCACAGUUUGGGUGAGUAACGUUAAGGCCAGUCAGCCCAGUGGUGUUUCUGGAGAGGUAUUCCUUCAGAAAUGGAGAAGACAGAAAGUUGCGGAGGCAGACAUUUGCAGCAUGUUCGAGUGUGCAUGAUGACCAUAAGUGUGUGUCGAACUUUUCAUGACCUGAUGACUGUGUUUCCCAAUCCUGAUCCUGGAGAACCCCAGCACUGCACGGUUUUGGUGUCUCUCUUAUCUGACAAACACACUUUUAAGGCCUUGGAGUCUUCACUGAUGAGCUGAUGAGUUGAAUCAGGUCUACAAUAUCGAGCUCAACAGCUCUUUAAAGAGCCAACCCACACAAACCUUCCUAAAAACUAAAAGAGCUAUUACUGAGUCUCAGCGAAUCUUGCCAUGAUCAGCUCUUCCCAGAAGAGAAGGAAGACCAAGGACAAUAUUUGCUCAGGAUGAGAAAUGAAGACGGCCAUCUUGUGCUCAAACAAACAGAAGUCCUCUGAUGAUCUCAUCAGCCAAAUGAGGGGUUUUGACCAAGUGAUGCUCUUGAAAGGAGUGAAAGAAGAGGAUGUGGUAAAUUGUCUUCAGAGAAAAAGCUUCUCAAAAGGUCUUAAAACAGCUUGAAGAAUGGUCUGGGAUGUUAGGACUGAGAGAUCCUCUGGCUGAGAACAAGCUACACCACAUCAGUGCUGGAUAUCAACCACAAACUGUUUCCAGACACGAGAAGAAGAUCAUGAUGGGGAGAUGAAACCAGUUUAGAUGUGAUGAUAAGGAAUCAUUGUUUUCUGGA